This 596-nucleotide ribosomal RNA is filed under the name uncultured bacterium. Its description in RNAcentral is "bacterial SSU rRNA". It matches the Rfam family "Bacterial small subunit ribosomal RNA", at positions 319 to 916 of the family's 1533-position model. The record is from RNAcentral.
CGGGGGCACGGGGGGACUCCUACGGGAGGCAGCAGUAAGGAAUAUUGGUCAAUGGACGCAAGUCUGAACCAGCCAUGCCGCGUGGAGGAUGAAGGUCCUCUGGAUUGUAAACUUCUUUUAUCUGGGAAGAAAUGCAUUUUUUCCAAAGUGUUUGACGGUACCAGAUGAAUAAGCACCGGCUAACUCCGUGCCAGCAGCCGCGGUAAUACGGAGGGUGCAAGCGUUAUCCGGAUUCACUGGGUUUAAAGGGUGCGUAGGUGGGCAGUUAAGUCAGUGGUGAAAUCUCCGGGCUCAACCCGGAAACUGCCAUUGAUACUAUCUGUCUUGAAUAUCGUGGAGGUAAGCGGAAUAUGUCAUGUAGCGGUGAAAUGCUUAGAUAUGACAUAGAACACCAAUUGCGAAGGCAGCUUACUACCCGAAUAUUGACACUGAGGCACGAAAGCGUGGGGAUCAAACAGGAUUAGAUACCCUGGUAGUCCACGCCCUAAACGAUGGAUACUCGACAUACGCGAUACACAGUGUGUGUCUGAGCGAAAGCAUUAAGUAUCCCACCUGGGAAGUACGACCGCAAGGUUGAAACUCAAAGGAAUUGACGG